Molecule: long non-coding RNA, 494 nt
Filed under: Elaeis guineensis (African oil palm)
Lineage: Eukaryota; Viridiplantae; Streptophyta; Magnoliopsida; Arecales; Arecaceae
Description: long non-coding RNA (EGUI_LNC064169)
Source: RNAcentral
AUCUUGAUCCACACACAGACUUCACAAGUAUUUGAUUGUACCUAGUAGCCUUCCAUCACUGUAUUAGAAAUUCAGAUAGUCCAGCACCAAAGCAUAGUGAGUUUCUUGCAAGUCACUAUGAUGAUCUCUGGUCUGAAGGAUACCUAUACCAAUGUGUUUCACGAGCAGCUCUUGAUAGCAGAACGCUCGACAGGUGAGUCACUUGUUCAGUGAUGAUGUACUUCUACAUCUUAUCUGUAUGCCAUACCCGUGUCACCACACUCCUUGGUUAAAAGGAUAACCAACCCAUAUGGUACACAAUAACCUCCACUCGAUAAACAUCAUCAUCCUGUAAUGACGUAUCAUUUGAUCACGAAUAUGUUUAAAAACUAUACGAUAAAUCCUCUCUUUAUCAUACACUAGUAUAGUUCUAAGAACUUCAUCACAGCAUAAGAGUUCAAGGAAGAUGUUACUUUAUGAUGAAAAAAGCCAGAAUAACUUUUAUUCAUUAACCA